AUGUGGUCCUUCUGCCCUUCCUGGGUCCCUCAAACCAACAGCUUCUUAAAUAACGCUGUCUUGAGACUGUUAUUGUCACUAGAGAUCCAAAGCAUAUUUAAACUAUUGCCAUUUCCAGAGUCCUCUUUGUUGUAUCAAACCUUUCUCAUUUCUCACUUUAUAUUUUCUCAAGGAGAUUGGCUUCAAAGUGUUUUCCGUGUUCUUUAUCUAUCUUUGGAUUUUCAUGCUUGCAUUACCUUGGGCAGGACGAUGCCUCCAGUAGGACUCCUUAACCUUCCACUUCACAAGGGUAAUUCCCACAGAUCUUCCAGGGAAGAGUCUGCUGAAGGUGCUUCGUUUCCUACAAAGAAGAAAACUCAUUUGGGGAAGGUAAGAAAAAAUUAAAGCUUGGGAAGGCCUUCAGGUAAAAAAGGUAUACCUGCACAAGUGUCAUGGAAAGGUUCAGUAGUUUGAUA
RNAcentral lists this long non-coding RNA (455 nucleotides) under Vulpes vulpes (red fox). RNAcentral describes it as "lncRNA (ENSVVUG00000017992.1)". Lineage: Eukaryota; Metazoa; Chordata; Mammalia; Carnivora; Canidae. The record is from RNAcentral.